Taeniopygia guttata (zebra finch) is the source of this 161-nucleotide long non-coding RNA. RefSeq lists it as uncharacterized. The record is from RefSeq and is a predicted model, not a curated record. Lineage: Eukaryota; Metazoa; Chordata; Aves; Passeriformes; Estrildidae.
GGACACCACAGAAUAAAGAGAGCUGUUCCAACUUCCCUGGGAUCCACUGAUUGGAAAGUUAUUGUAGUGGACCUGUCACAGAGCCCACAAGACCUGCAGGCGUACGAUAUGGAGCUGGACAAGAAAACCUACCUCGCACUCAACCCUGUGAUGAACCCCAU